Molecule: ribosomal RNA, 348 nt
Filed under: uncultured bacterium
Lineage: Bacteria
Description: partial 16S ribosomal RNA
Rfam family: Bacterial small subunit ribosomal RNA
Source: RNAcentral
CCUACGGGUGGCAGCAGUGGGGGAUAUUGCACAAUGGGGGGAACCCUGAUGCAGCGACGCCGCGUGGGUGAAGAAGGGCCUCGGCGCGUAAAGCCCUGUCAGCAGGGAAGAAAAGGACGGUACCUGAAGAAGAAGCCCCGGCUAACUACGUGCCAGCAGCCGCGGUAAUACGUAGGGGGCAAGCGUUAUCCGGAGUUACUGGGUGGAAAGGGGGCGCAGACGGCGAUGCAAGCCAGGAGUGAAAGCCCGGGGCCCCACCCCGGGACUGCUCUUGGAACUGCGUGGCUGGCGUGCAGGAGGGGCCGGCGGACUUCCUUGUGUAGCGGUGACAUGCGUAGCUAUCAGGAG